This 66-nucleotide transfer RNA is filed under the name Amynthas longisiphonus. RNAcentral describes it as "tRNA-Ile". Lineage: Eukaryota; Metazoa; Annelida; Clitellata; Crassiclitellata; Megascolecidae. The record is from RNAcentral.
GGUACAGCGCCGGAUGAACGGAUAACUCUGAUGAUGUUAAUUAAGGAAAUUCAACUCCCUGUGCCU